This is a long non-coding RNA of Dermacentor silvarum, 11187 nucleotides long. RefSeq lists it as uncharacterized. NCBI's taxonomy places the organism in Eukaryota, Metazoa, Arthropoda, Arachnida, Ixodida, Ixodidae. The transcript is spliced from 4 exons. The record is from RefSeq and is a predicted model, not a curated record.
AUUUUUAUGGACGUUUUUUAUUUGUAGAACCAUGGUACGUCUGUGUCAUGUCUUCGAUUGUGCUUUAACGAGCAUAUUUAUGACUGCACGACAAUCAACACCUUGUGGAUUUUCUUGCACAAAAAGAGAGUGCCAUUAAUAUUGUUACCUUGCACCAGUUUGCAUCAUAGUGCUUGAUGUAUAAUAACAGGCCGUUUUAAGUAAGCAGUGGACAAAACAUUGCCCAACAGCAAGAGGGCAUUACAAAGUAGAAGUGCGGUAAACGAUUACUGAAUAAAUAGUAAAUAUUAUAUGCUAUGGUGUUUUUUUUAUUUCUCAUUGAAUAUGAUUUAGAUGUCCCAGGGUGAAUAGCUUGCGAAACGGAAACUAAAUUGGGAUGAACAGGUGCUGGGCAGUGUAGUUUAGCCCCCUCUAGUAAAAUCCCUGCAUAUUUCUAUGAUCAUAAUGACUGCAGGGUGACAACAUAAUUAUUCAUCACUGCUGUAGUAGCUGCUAGCGAAAUUAAAAUGUGAAAGUUGGAACAGCAGGUGGCUGUCACAAAGAGGGAAAAGGAUGUGACAUGACAGAUGUUCCAACAAAUGAUAAUGCCUUGGCGAAAAUUCAGCACAAAAAUAAGCAAGGACGAAAGAGAGACUACACAAAAGAAGCAUUAACUAGUGACAUUACGUUUAUUCGGAAGGAUGGGUUAAAGUAAAAAAUAAAAGAAAGUCCUUGUAUCCACGGUCCUAUUAAGCAGUCAAGCUUUGACUAACUCUAUUUAUAUAAACCUUUUUUUGACUGUUACAUUUAUGCGAGCAGCUUUAGUUUUUUUCAUGGCUUCUCUGUCAUUAUUCAAUCUUGGUCGUACAGAAAGUUCUGUAUAUUCUAAUAAGUAUUUGACAGUAACCACUGUGUGCGGCACUAAUUGGCAGAUACUCAUUAGGCGUUUUGAGUAGUGAUUUGUUGAACACAUACUUUUUGGAAUUAUAUUUUGACCUUAAUGCAUGACUUGCUUGAUUACUACUUUGUAGUUUGUUGAUAAAUAAGAGUUUCGUAAAUAUUGGACCAGUUACCUGUGGGUUGCAUUUUUUCAUUUUGCUUCUUGCAUCUGCAGAAACAAACCAGGAGGAGUGUAGCCUGACUUGCAGAUACAGUGGAAGUGGAUGAGCUGGUUGAAAUGCAACUUUUGGGGUACUUGUUCUUGGGUUACCGCAUUAUUGACUGGGAAACCAGUGAGAUCUCUGGAUGCAAGUGGAGCUAUCGAGGGAGGCAUGUGUGCAUCACUUGUGCUGCUGGCCAUCCUCUGUGAAAGUUAAGGCUGGCUGUCAGUGCUUGAAUGACUUCCUUUUGUUAGUCUACCCCCUGUGCUGUGUUGACUACUUCAGACAUGCUGCCAUGUCUGCAUGCUUAGGCAAAAAGGCGGGCCGGAUGCUUGGGAGGACAUAGUAUAUAACCUCAGUGGUACUGUGCUGUGUUUUUGUGCAUUACAAAGUGAAGGACAGUAUUUGUGCUGUUAUUAGGAAGUAUAAAUUGUGUUCUGCCAUUGAAAUAGGAGAAUGUGACAAAAAGCAAAAAAUUUCGAUGUCUGACCUAAAUGUGAAGGCAACAUAGUAUAUUGUGUUGUAGUUGUUAGUAGAGUGUACUAAUAUGCGAUACAAAACCUUGAUGCUUAAUGUAAAAUAUAUUUGUUUAAGUGUGCUAUCAGUGCUGUUCACAUUGUUUUUCUAAGAAAAGUUAGUGUUAUCUAAGUGGAAUUAUUUGUUUGCCAGGAUGAUAUAAGCAGAUAAAUGCAUGGUUUGACAUUAUAACCAGGUUUGUUUAGAACAUAUUCACUAUUAUUAUUCACUGUGUACUGGAGAUUAUCGGUGCUGGCACGGUGAAGUAUGAAAGAGGAAGUCGACAAACUAGUAGUGCGCCCUCGAUCCGUGUCCAGCUGAGACUGCUCCGUCUUCUUGUAUUUCGGUCAGACGCCCUGUGGACUUACAAGAACAUCCCGUGCCAUUUGGUGGAGGUGCUGGGUUAACGUCUUCCCCGACCUGGAGCUCCGCAGCCGUACGUUGCCAUCUGCGGCCACAAUGACCGACGACGCCGGCCCUUCGCAAUCCGCUCCCGCCCCCCCGGCUGCCGUGUGUUCUGGUGCGGUACGUCAGCGCGACCCUGCCAUCUUCAGCGGCACCGACGAUCACGACGUGGAGGACUGUCUUGCGGAGUAUGACCGCGUUAGCGCACGUAACAAGUGGGCUGACCACGACAAGCUGACCAACGCCAUCUUUUAUCUGACUGAUGUGGCAAAUCUGUGGUUUAGAAACCACGAAGCCGAGUUUACAACCUGGUCAGCUUUCACCGAGACCCUCACUUCGGUCUUCGGCCGUCCCACUGUGCGCAGACUCCGUGCUGAACACCGUUUGCGUGGUCGCGCUCAACAAAGCAGUGAAACCUUCACGAACUACAUUGAGGACGUCAUCGACCUCUGUAAGCGCGUGAAUGCGUCCAUGACCAAAGUCGAUAAGAUAAGGCAUAUUAUGAAAGGCAUAGACGAUGCCUUCCAUAUGCUCAUGGCCAAGAAUCCUUCGACAGUUGCACUAGUAAUUGAGCUCUGUCAAAGCUUCAACGAGCUGCGCAAGCAGCGCCUUUCCACCCGUCACACCGGUUUGCAAUCCGCUGACCUCUCGGCCUUGGAGCCUGGAUGCCUUAGCGCUGAUCACUCCGGCUUGCUGCCGCAGAUUCAGCAAUACAUUCGGGAAGAAGUGGCUUGCCAGCUAUCUCUUGUGGCGUGUGCUGCUGAGCCUGCUUCCACGCUAGAACCGUCGCUCCGUCGUGUGAUCCAAGCGCAAGUUUCUGAGGCGCUCCCACCUCCCUCUCCAUCGCCGCCUGUGACUGCACCCUCUGACUUACGCUGCCGCUCUCAACCGACCUCCUCCGUGACCGAUGUCUACUACCGUCACAGGUUGUUCUUGUGAGUCCACAGGGCGUCUGACCGAAGUACAAGACGGAGCAGUCUCAGCUGGGCACCGAUCGAGCGCGCACUACUAGUUCGUCGACUUCUUCUUUCACACUUCACCGUGCCGGCACCGAUAAUCUCCAGUACAACUGAUAUUAUUUAAGGGGAACCAAUCCAUAUUCACCCCACCUAGUUUUAGGGUGAAUAUGAAUAUGCAUUGGGCCCCUUAAAGGGGCCCUGAACCACCCCUCGGGCUUGGUGAAAUAACAUAGUCCGCGGGUAGCAUACGCUGUUGUGAACAUCUCAGCCAAGUUCUGCUGUCAUACACGGUCCGUGGAGCUUGCAAGCAGAACGCGAAGUCGCCUUUCUCUCGAACGCUCUUGUUUCAACAGACCCCAUGAUCCUUGCUCUUUUCUGUGUGCUUUAUUUCAUAAUAAAGCACACUCCAAUACACGGCUGCUAUUGGUCGCAACGGUCGGCUACACCGCGGCCACCGCGAGGUGCCGCCACAAGUCCAGUGGCUAAGCUCACUGCGGAUCGCUGCGGACAACCGCAUUUGGGUUACGUUUAGUGCUUUGUAGGCACCAAAAUCAGAAGUGCAAAAUAAAAUUUCAACUGCGCGCCUCGAUGACGUUGUUGUGGCCCCGCCCCACUACGCCGUAGCCUUCGCAGUGCAAGGCAUUGCUAGAAGGAAGGGGAGCACAGCAGAUGCCGUGUUUGAUUGCCAAUAACUCCGCUUCUGCUGAACGCAUUGAAGUAAUUUUUGUGGCAAAGUGAUUCUGAAAUAGCCUGUUUUCACUUAAAAUGUAUUUCUCCACUUCGAUAAAAUGUGGUUCUGGGCCCCAAUAUCAGUGAAUAACAAUAGUGAAUAUGUCCUAGACAAACCUGGCUUAGGAAAUAUGCAGGCGCAAGUUGGAAUCGGCUAGCGCAAGAUAGGGGUAAUCGCAGGGAGAGGCCUUUGUCCUGCAGUGGACAUAAAUAUAGGCUGAUGAUGAAGAUGAUGAUGAAUGCAUAUCCAUGGGUGCAUAUUAAACCACCACAUGUUCCUCCUUCACAAGAAAUUCUUUAAUACUAGUGGUUGUUCUUAGCAGCUGACGUUGACUAUUAUGCAAUUUCUUGGGAGCACAUGCAGCUACCGACACAUGAUUUCUAGAGCAGUAAGUCAGAAGGAUAGAAACUGAUUUUUCUGCAGCCUCAGCUUAAAUGAUAUGUUUAUGGAAAAUGAACAUUUGUGGAUGAUUUUGAGACUUUCUGUGAGAACCUUUAUACGAGAACCUCUGCGCACUGGACGUGCAUACUGCUGUCUUGCUGUUAUAGCCAUAAUGAAAAAGUUGUUAUGAAUCACUUUGCAGCUUUUGCAUUAUGCACUUGUACUUGCAGUCAGCAUCUAUAUGCUGUGCUAUGGACAACAGCAAGACAACAAUCAGGCAAACCAACACGUGAAACACUUUAAAGAUUCUAGAUUAGAGCGAGUUGGUACUAUAUAGUGCAAAACUCAUCAGCUGCUCGUACAGAUGGUAAGAUACACAAGAAAUAUACAUAAAAGAAUUAAGUUUUUCACCAAUUUUUGUUUCACAUUUUCAUGCACGUAACAUGAAACCGCAACGAGAAAACUACUAAAAUGCAUAAACUGUCAAGUAGUAGUAUAAACUUUAUUUCUCUUUGUGGUUUUUGGCGGUGGGUGGGUCCCUCAGUUCAGGGCUCUACUGGUCUCUGUGGAUCGCUAGGCUUGAUCGAGAAGAGCUCUCUGGCUCUCUAGAUGUUCACUAGCAAGCCAACCCUCCCACUGCCUGUUACCUGGCACUUGCGCCUUAAGGGGCGAAUUGGAAUUGGGAGGCUGUAGUUUACAUGUCCACGUUACAUGGGCAAGAGUUGACCGCUCCCUCCGCCAAGGACAUGUAUCUUCAUAGAGUGCAGGGUGUAUCUUACUGAGUAUUUGGAGGUGUGGAUAAGUGUUUGUUUGUAUACAGUGCCAGUCCCUGGCUUGUUCUCCCACAAGAUCGAGGUGUGGGCGGUUGUAUUUUUGUCUCCUUUCUUUGGCUUUUGAAGAUGAUGUGCGGGUGAAUGGGGAAUUCCUCGAAAGGACCAACUAGUGCUCGGGUGCUUAUUUCUUGAGCAGUUCACACCACCCUUGUUUCCCUCGAGUCAAGAGGGCUCCGAGCACCACACUAUCGCGUGGCGCAAUUCUGUGGCGGUGCCUAGCAUUCUGUGGAUUUUGUGUGGGACGGUACUCAUGAAUCAACAGCAUGCUGCCUGGGAGUCUGUCAUGACCAAUGCAGCUUGUUCUUUUGCCUCUGCAUCUCGAAGGGCCAGCGUUUUGGCUGCUACCUCCGCGGUGCAGGUCGAAAGGGUCUGAAUGAAGGCCGAUAUCGCUGUGGACUGAUUGAGGGCCACUAUUAUGAAUUUGUCUGUUGCCACUCUACACACGUUCGUGUAAUAUAUGUCUGGAUUUCUUCCAUAUUUGUUUUGUAAAGCACUUGAUUGUGCUUUUCUUCUGCUUUGGUGGUGUUCCGUGCUCAUAUGUCAAGCAAAUAUAAAUUUAAGGGUUUGCAGUGCUAUCAGCUGUGUCAUGCUGACAGCACUGCUGUGUCUGGCUUUGAAUGUUCUGCAAUAUCAUUUGAGUGUUGCUUGAAUGUCACAAACAUACCUUGCUUGAAAGCUGAAGUGACAUUAGGCAACAUCCAGAUUACGUCCUCAGGAUGUUGAAUUGACAUUAUGCCAAUGUCGUGAAUGUGCUGUUCAAUGCUGCCAUAACAUUAUGGCCCAAAGUUGUCCAGUCAUCAAACAAGAGGGCAUUGCAGCAUGUAGGCAACGUUGUGCACCAAUUUUUCGGCAGAUUCAGAGAAGUCAUGGCAACAUAUUAUGUUACUUCGGUGAAGCGCUUGGGAUGCGCCCACUUCAUUCACGUUCCAAACGUCAACAAUGCAAAGAUAAUUUAGAUUGCCACAAUUUCUAGAGGCAUGCAGCAAGCCAUCGGUAGAAAUCCAGCUUAUAUAAAGGCUGACAAGAUGUCGCAGGUGUUUCAGGCCCUCCCAGCUGUCUUUCCGGGAUAUCAGGUACGAGUUGAAGUGUAGAAGUUCGAUGUGGGGACAACUGAAAAAUAGCUGUAGAAAAAUUCGGUCGUCGAAGCCCACUUCGAAGGAAGCUAUCAGCUCUUUAAGGCACUCGAGGCGCUCCAAGGAGCGAAUGUCACCUAGCAGUGCUGUAUCCCUGCCAUGCCGCACGACGGUACAGAGCGAUUCGCAGUCCGUUGUAUGACCACAUGCUAGCUUGUGACAAUGCACGGCCAGGUAUCGCUAUUCUCUUCAACAUGUUGAACCGGAUCGAGGCUAAAGCAAUACUCUCGAGAUCAAGAGGUCCCGUCGAAAUGUCCAACUUACGUAUCAUUGUAGCCCUGUCCAGAAUGUCGCACACGUGUUGCAUGUUCCUUGCAGAAUUCAAGUUGAGGCACACUUCCUUCCAAAGGCUGGGGUCAAAAGCAAUUGUCUUCCACCAUGUUGGGACUUGGGCUAUGAUCGGCAGACAUCGUUGAGGAAGAUGGGACACAAUCUUUAAAGCCAGCUCAGCUGGUAGAUCGUUAAACGUAUCCAUGGCUGAUCACUUUCGUUUCGUUUUCCUUUUCUGAUGGCGCAUAUCCACAGUGCAGAUUGGCGAAGAUUUGGAUGGUUUUGCAAACAAGGUAUUUUAGGCUAGUCUGGCCUCUCUUCCAGCGAGAGAAGCUUUUUAUUACAAGGCAGAGAUUUUAGCUGGCGUGCAAACAACCGCUGAAAUGUUACUUUGCACAAAGGAGGGGAAGGGGAUUAAAAGCUGAGGGAUGACCUUGUUCCAGUUCCUUAGUGAGAUGGCGCAACCCACUCUGUGGGAUUGGCCAUGAAUCGGGCAGUGAAAAGACUGUUAUUAUCGUUUUUUAGGAGAAUAAGGCGAAAUGAAAUAGCUGUCUUGUAAAUGUGAAAUAUAAUGUUAACUGUUACAGAUAUGAAGGCUUAAAUAUCUAAAUAUCACUAAAAAUUAUUUGAGCACAGGUAUAAAACAGCAAUUUUAGCAUGAAAUUCUUUUUGUCUCACGCAGAAAGUUGCAGAGGGCUUCACAAACGUUCAUGUCGCUUUAACCCAGUAUGUUAGCCCCAAAGGAAUGAAUUACCGGACUAGUCGAAUUCAAGCCAAGGUUUUGGAAGGGUUCGUCUAAAAAUAUUUUUAUUUGAAUAAUGAACUGGUGGAAAGCUAAAAAGGAAUGUUGCAGAGAUUCACUGUCAUUACAUAAAGGACAUAAAGGUGAUAUAGCCAGACCAGACCUCUGAAGGAGAAAGUUCAGUUGGGGACACCCGGCACCGUAGUCUCGUAAUCGUUACUUCAAAUUUUCUUGUGAAGCAUCAUUUGUUGUUCCAAGGAAAAUUGAGAUGCGGGAAAGUGGGUGUUGACAGCAAUAAUUGGUGAAGUUAAUUGUAGUAGCAUAUUUUCUUAAUUGCACUGCAGUGAUGAAAGCCGACGUUGGUCAGAUGGGACUUGCAACGUUCAAACAUCUCGGACCAUAACGGACUCGCCAAGUGAUGGAACCAACAACCUGCAUUUGUAUUUGAAAGAUGACUGAAAUAUACAUAUGGGGAGAAAGAGAUUUGUAAGUUUUGAUUUCAACACAAAUGAUGCAGCUGGGUUGCCAGCGUCGAGUACGAAUAAGCAUACGGGGCCCUUUCUGAAUUGCAUUGCCUUAUUACUUGUUCUCGGAAAUGUUAAGAGCAUCCAGCACUUCAGGUGGGUAGAUUGUGUUUAAUGCUCUGAGAGAUGUAGUGGGAGGUGCUUUAGCGUCUUUCUGAUAAGCGGGAACGAAGUAUUGAUUUUCCUGGACGUUAUACUUCCACUCGCUGGCCAAGGGGUCUUGGCACCUAUGAUCCGCCCGCAUUGUUGCUCAAUGUCGCAGAUGUGCUGCGCUUAAAGGCGUCUUUUUAGAGCGAGGAACUCCUUGAAAUUCCACACCUCACUAAUCACAGUAUCCUGCGCUGAGUGCGACAAGCAAUACGCGCGGAGCUAGAGACGCGUGCUGCCAUUGCUCGACUCGUCGAGUUGUCGAUUUCAACGACGUCCAGAUGGGCUCGCACGAGGUUGGUGAACUUGAUCAACAUGGACAAUGAGAGUCUCUGGCCGCAGAGAUUAUCAAUGGAGAUUCGCUACAGGCCUUUGCAUCUAGAAAUAGUGUUUAUGGCAGCUACUGUAUAAGCAUUGGUGUGCUAAAGGCGAUACACUCAAGCUUGUCAUGAAAGUUUUCGGGGAGAAGCACAAAGUGCUCACCUUGCAUGUGGAGGCGUGGAACUUUGAAGUUUGGUAUCUCUCGUGGUGUGAAUCUGGCGUCAAACCAACCCGUACCACAGUUGUUGUACACGGAGAUGAACUCCAGCUUCCGAAACCCUGAGAGGUGGGGCGUCAUCGACAAUGUGGAUAUAAUUUAGAUUGCCACAAUUCCUAGAGGCAUGCAGAAAUGCAUCGUUAGAAAUCCGGCUUAUAGUAGUAGUAGUAGCAGUCAUAUAUUGAGGCAACAAUUACAGGCCGAGCAUAUCAACCGCCUGGGCGGCAAGUCUACGCUGUUCUUCUUCCCCUUCAGCGUCGAGCCAGGUGGUGAUGGAAAGGGAAAGGGGAGGAUAGGAAUCUGAUUGCUGAACAGCUGGGCAGUAGAAAAGGCAAUGAGAUAGGUCCGCAUAUGUAGAGGGGCAGUUGGAGCAGCUGGGGUCGAAUCAAUAGCAAUAAACAGACGGGAGGGGGUAACCAGCAUUCAUUGAGAUGUGCCGCAGAAGGCGAGCCUCUGGCACAGUGAGUGAUGGAUGAGGGGGAGGGUAGAGGCGCUUGUCGAGACGGAGCUGGAGGUAGACUUCCUUGAUGGGUGCGGCGCAGGGAGAGUCUCCCACAGUCCUCCGAGGGCUUGGGCCAGGGGAUCAUUGGUGCCCGGUUAGAGAGAGUGAGAAUAAACAUCUUUAUUAAGAGAUUAUUUUAAGAGUUGUCUUCGGGGUGGUCUCCCCUUUCAAGGAAACCAUAGGCUUUUGCUGCCUCCACGACCCUCGCUACCAGCUGGCGCUGGCUUGCGAGGGUGGAGCUGGCUAGGGCACUCUCCCAAAGCUCAGGUGUGUGGUAUGGAUUGGGUGAUUCUCUAAGGGGUGACUCUGUACAGCCCCCUACCAUGUGGUAGAGGGUGCCCUGUGCUCCACAAAAGUGGCAAAGUGGAGGGGACAUAUAGGGGUGAAGUGGUAGUUUCUAGAUGGGUGGGAGAAUGUUUGCAGUGCUCUAAGAAUGCGGUCAUUACCUUUUGUUAUUUUUUUAUGCGGGGUCGGAAAUAUUCUUCGUUGCAACCUAUAGUGCAUAGUGAUUUCCUGAUAAGAGACUAGAGGGUGUGGUCACCCUGGCUCCUCCGUUGUGCCAGGGGCUCGGUUAGUGAAACCUCGAGCCGUGAGAUGCUCCAUCUAGUUGCCUGGGAUGUCAUGACGCGCUGGAGCCCACAAAAUCUUUAUUCGUCUCUUGGGGGGGUCCCUCUGGAGUAUUUGCCAGGAGGUUUGGUGAAUUCUGCUGUAAGAGAAAUUGCAGCAUGCUUGUUGGGAGUCUGUUAUGACGGUGUCUGCGGUCGUCUGUGCGAUCGCCAAGGCGAUGGCCACUUCCUCGCCAACGACGGGGUUGUCAUUGCGGAUGGAGACGCUUGUCAGGUACUCUUGACUUACGGUUACGGUGGAUGUGGAGGCUCUCUUGCCGGGGUACAGGGCCGCGUCAGUCUAAGCGACUAGUGGAUGGUUGCCAUACUGUUUGGUGAUGACUUUAGCCCUUGCAGCCCUUCUUCCUGCGUUGUGGAUAGGAUGCAUGUUGGUAGUGGCUGAACCAGGAUCUGGCUCCGUACGCACUUGGGUAGCAAGGCCGUCGUUUGGGGUUGAUGCUGCAGCGGCGAAUUAAUGCCCAGUCUACUGAGAAUAGUUCGUCCCGUCGUCGUGGUGGAAAGUCGUACCCGAUGAUUGGUCAGGUGAGCCUCUAUGAGAUCUUCAGUGGUAUUGUGGAGCCCUAGCUUCAGCAGCUUGUCGGUAUAUGUACUGAUUGGUAAGCCCAGAGCCCGCUUGUAGGCUUUCCGCAAGAGGGUGUCAAUUUUCUUGAUGUCGGUGGAAGUCAAGAGUGCGUACGGUACGGAGUAAGUGACUCUAGAGACAACGAAGGCUUGUACGAGGCGCAGCGCUUCCUCCUCCCCCAUGCCCCUUGUUUUUGAUAUUAUUCUUUGGAGCAUGUGCAUGACUUGCUUGACCGUCGACUUUAGUCUGUUUAUAACGAUGGUGUUGGUUCUGUUUUGCUGGAAGUGCAUCCCGAGCACCUUGAUGCUGGGGGAGGGGGAGAUUACCUGUCCUUCCAGGUGGAUGCAUGCUCGGUUAGAAACGUCACGGGCGAGCUGAUGCGCAAGCUCAAUGAAAAGGCUCACAAGACGUCGCAGGUGUUUCAGGCUCUCCCAGCUGUCUUUGCGAGAUAUCAGGUACGAGUUGAAGUGUAGGAGUUCGAUGUGGGGACAACUGAUGUAUAGCUGACGAAAAAUGUCAUCGAAGCCCACUUCGAAGGAAGCUAUCAGCUCUUUAAGGCACUCGAGGCACUCCAAGGAGCGAAUGUCACCUAGCAGUGCUGUAUUCCUGUCAUGCAGCACGACGGUACAGAGCGAUUCGCAGUCCGUUGUAUGACCACAUGCUAGCUUGUGACAAUGCACGGCCAGGUAUUGCUAUUCUCUUCAACAUGUUGAACCGGAUCGAGGCUAAAGCAAUAAUCUCGAGAUCAAGAGGGCCCGUCGAGAUGUCCAACUUACGUAUCAUUGUAGCCCUGUCCAGAAUGUCGCCCACGUGGUGCAUGUUCCUUGCAGAAUUCAAAUUGAGGCACACUUCGUUCCAAAGGCUGGGGUCAAAAGCAAUUGUCUUCCAUUAUGUUGGGACUUGGGCUAUGAUCGGCAGACAUCGUUGAGGAAGAUAUGUCAAAAUCUUUAAAGCCAGCUCAACUGGUAGAUCGUCAAACGUAUCCAUGGCUGAUCACUUUCGUUUCCUUUUCCUUUUCUGAUGGCGCAUAUCCACAGUGCAGAUUGGAGAAGAUAUGGAUGGUUUUGCAAACAAGCUAUUUUAGGCUAGUCUGGCCUCUCUUCCAAAGAGAGAAGCUUUUUAUUACAAGGCAGAGAUUUUAGCUGGUGUGCAAACAACCGCUGAAAUGUUACUUUGCACAAAGGAGGGGAAGGGGAUAAAAAGCUAAGGGAUGUCCUUGUUCCGGUUCCUGAGUGAGAUG